CUUUCGGCGUCAGGGGUUGGGGAGGCGGAUUCGGGGGCGGGCGACGCGGCGGGGGUCGCCGGUGACGAUGAGGAAGGCAGGCGUAAUUUUCCCCCUGACCCCUGCGAACCCUAGCAGCCGCACCAAUGCCACCCCGCCGCCAGGCGCCAGCCAUCGGGUCGCUUCCCUGCGCCUCCUCGCCUCCCUCUGCUCCAGGCCUCCCUCUCUCGCGCUGCUAGGAGCUGCUCCUGGUGUCUAGCAGCUGCCUUCCCCUCACUCAUCGCAUCAAUCUCCUGCUCCCUCUCUCUCCAACAUCCCCCGCUGUCCUCUCGCAUCACACACAGGCGGUGGCUGUACAUAUCUGGUCGGGUGUGGCGUGUGUGGCAUCUGUGAUGUGCUUCGGGCGACCGGUUGUCCAUGCAUAGGAAGUGAAUGGUUGCAGGCAGAGGAAGCUGUUGGCCGUUGUCAGAGGAGGAUUAGGAUAGUUCCCUUCAUCUUUGUCAGAAAAUGAUAGUUCCCUUGAUUUGUUUUGUUCCGAAUUAGUACAAAAGUGCAAUGAUAUUUGUUUUGUGCCGCAGGAGCUUCAAGACAGCAGGGACCAAUUGCAACCUUCAUUUAUCUGUUCUGUGAACCAAUUUGUGAUGGCUUCUAAAUGCACUUGGCUGGAACAGAGCAAUUUUUUGGUAGUCUUCAGUCGGGAGAAGAUGGGUGCAGAGAAGAGUGAAACGGGCUCAGUCAGGUGUGAAAAGGAGAAUUUGAGAGAUAGCAACGAUGUGGUGCUGCACUGCUGCUCUCUUACUGCUAGCUUGCUACUUCUAGCUGAAUUUUGCUAUUUCUGCUAGCUGAAUUUUGCAUAGGCAUGGCGAGCUGUUUGAUUUCGUGGCAGGCCUGCUUAUCCUCAAUGUGUUCUGACUCGGAGUUUCAGGAUAUGCCUUACAAGCCAUCCAUGUGAGAUAUCCAAGGGGUUCAAGACGGAUUGAAAAGGAGCUGGAGUAGGUGGUCGAUUGAGGAAGGAGCUGGAGCAGAGGUGGAAUCGAGGCUGCCCCUACGUGCGCUAAGAAGCUGCCAGAAAUUAUGAGGUGCCUGCCAUC
Molecule: long non-coding RNA, 1070 nt
Organism: Triticum aestivum (bread wheat)
Lineage: Eukaryota; Viridiplantae; Streptophyta; Magnoliopsida; Poales; Poaceae
Exons: 3
Source: RefSeq, a predicted model, not a curated record